ACCAGUACAAAAGUUUGAGAAUCACUGAACUAGACAGAUCUUUUAGAAAACCACAAUCUUGAUUCAAAGAUUGACUGUGAUGGAGCAUCCAACACUACCCUUGGUAAAUCAUUCCACUGGUCAAUUACCUUCCCUGUUAAAAAUGUACGUCUUAUUUCCAGUCUGAAUUUUCUAACUUUUAACUUCCAGACCUUGGAAGUUGUUACACCUUUGCCUGCUAGAUUGCACAGCCCAUUGCCAAGUAGUUGUUUAUAGACUGAUCAUCACCCCUUAACCUUCUCUUUGCAUAUGAAUUUGUCUUAAUUCAAAUGUGAUCAAACCUAACACUUUGGAAAGUUUCCUGUUCACUGCCUAGAAGGACAAAGAUAGGCAGCACCCUAUAUCCAAACAGCUCUCAGCAGAUCAGCUAGGAUGAUGUGGCUAAUAUUCAGAUUCCAUUGUAUCUUCAUAUCCGUCCUAUCAGAGCAGCUUCAUUUGCUUUUUUUGUACCACAGAAGUUCAUCAGAUGACUACAGGGAGCUGAGUCCAUGGCUGCUCCAUAUCAAGCAGCAGGACAAGAUCAGAAAUGAGGCUAUUUGAAGCCAAACCCAGCAACUGCAUCCAUCAGCACUGGUCGGCUGUGGCAGCUUUCUUGGUACGGACAUACUAUAAGAACAGAACGCCAAUGAAUUCUGGAGUAUGUACACCAAGGGAUGCUGCUACACGGCCAACAAUCACGAGUGCCAAAAGCUUGGGAGGCAUAACAAGACUGCUAGUGAUGGAUGUGAACAGAAUGUACAAUCAGACCACCGAUCCCAUCCUCCUUCAGUGCUUAGGUCAGACCUGCUCUUGGGCUGAAUCAGGGUUGCGACUGAAGGAGGUGGUUAUCUGCAGGAUCUCUCAGUUGAGUGCAGCCCUGGAGAACUGGAUUCGAGUCCUGCCUCUGCCACCAAGUUCCUGAGCGAUUCUGAGCAAGUCACUUAAACCAAACUUUUUACAAGUGGCCACUAAAUUGUGUUUUCCUCAUGUUCUGGGUGUCUAACGUGACACCUUGGGGCCAGACUUGCAGGCAUGCUGAGCAUGUACAGCUGCAACGGAGGUGGCUUGGAGCUGUGCUCUGAACAGAUAAAGUCCCAUAAAAUGCUAAGGACACUGAAAAAUCAUAGAGACUAACAAAUGUAUUUGGGCAUAAGCUUUCAUGGGCUAAAACCCACUUCAUCGGACGCAUGCAGUGGAAAAUACAGUAGGAAGAUAUAUGUACACAGAGAACAUGAAAAGUGGGUGUUGCCCUACCAACUAUAAUAAGACCAAUUAAGGUGGGCUAUUAUCAGCAGGAGAAAAAAAACUUUUGUAGUGAUAAUCUGGAUGGCCCAUUUCCAACAGUAGACAAGGUGUGAGUAACA
Molecule: long non-coding RNA, 1382 nt
Organism: Mauremys reevesii (Reeves's turtle)
Lineage: Eukaryota; Metazoa; Chordata; Testudines; Geoemydidae
Exons: 3
Source: RefSeq, a predicted model, not a curated record